CCACAGAAGGUAAUAGUCCUGUAUGUUAAACGAGAAGACUUUAGAUAUGAUCCAGAGUACCACGGGACACGUGAAACCCUGUGUGAAGCAGGAGGGACCACCCUCCAAGGCUAAAUACUACCUAGUGACCGAUAGCGUAUAGUACCGUGAGGGAAAGGUGAAAAGAACCACGGAAAGGGAGUGAAAUAGAACCUGAAACCAUGCACUUACAAGCUGUGUAAGCCCAUUUCUUGUGUGACCGCGUCCUUAUUGUAGAACGGGCCAACAAGUUACGUUAAGUAGCAAGGUUAAGCACUUAAGGUGCGGAGCCGUAGCGAAAGCGAGUUUUAACUGAGCGUUCAGUUACUGGACGUAGACCCGAAACCGGGCGACCUACCCAUGAGCAGGAUGAAGCGAAAGUAAAAUUUCGUGGAAGUCCGAACCCACGAGCGUUGAAAAGCUCGGGGAUGACUUGUGGGUAGCGGUGAAAUUCCAAUCGAGCCCGGAGAUAGCUGGUUCUCCCCGAAAUAGCUUUAGGGCUAGCCUCAAGGUGAGAGAUACGGAGGUAGAGCACUGAAUGUCCUAGGGGGUAUUGCACCUACCGAAGACUAUCAAACUCCGAAUGCCGUCAUCUUAUACUUGGGAGUCAGACUGUGGGUGAUAAGAUUCAUAGUCGAAAGGGCAACAGCCCAGAUCGUCAGCUAAGGUCCCUAAAUGUAAGUUAAGUGGUAAAGGAUGUGGGAUUGCACAGACAACCAGGAUGUUGGCUUAGAAGCAGCCACUCAUUCAAAGAGUGCGUAAUAGCUCACUGGUCGAGUGAUCCUGCGCCGAAGAUUUCCGGGGCUAAAACUUACUACCGAAGCUACGGCAUCAGUAAUGAUGGGUAGAGGAGCUUCCCAUACGGGUUGAAGACUAACCGUAAGGACAUGUGGACAGUACGGGAGUGAGAAUGUUGGCAUGAGUAGCGAGAUGUGGGUGAGAAUCCCACAGGCCGUAAACCCAAGGUUUCCAGGGGAAGGUUCGUCCGCCCUGGGUUAGUCGGGACCUAAGCUGAGGCCGAAAGGCGUAGGUGAUGGACAACAGGUUGAUAUUCCUGUACUACCGAUAACCGUUUGAGAGAAGGGAUGACACAGUAGGAUAAGCUAAGCACACUGUUGGUUAUGUGUGCCCAAGCAUUGAGGCAGUCAAAGUAGGCAAAUCCGCUUUGAUAAUGCUGGGAUGUGAUGGGGAGCGAAAUUUAGUAGCGAAGUAGCUGAUUUCACACUGUCAAGAAAAGUCUCUAUCGAGGUUAAAGGUACCCGUACCGCAAACCGACACAGGUGGGUGAGGAGAGUAUCCUAAGGCCAGCGAGAGAACUGUUGUUAAGGAACUCGGCAAAAUGACCCCGUAACUUAGGGAUAAGGGGUGCCACCAUCAGGUGGCCGCAGAGAAUAGGCCCAAGCGACUGUUUACCAAAAACAUAGGUUUCUGCUAAGUCGCAAGACGAUGUAUAGGAGCUGACGCCUGCCCGGUGCUGGAAGGUUAAGGGGAUCUGUUAGAGCAAUCGAAGCAGUGAACUUAAGCCCCAGUAAACGGCGGCCGUAACUAUAACGGUCCUAAGGUAGCGAAAUUCCUUGUCGGGUAAGUUCCGACCCGCACGAAAGGCGUAACGAUUUGGGCACUGUCUCAACAACAGACUCGGUGAAAUUGUAAUUCCGGUGAAGAUGCCGGAUACCUGCGACAGGACGGAAAGACCCCAUGGAGCUUUACUGUAGCUUGACAUUGGGUCUUGGUACUACAUGUACAGGAUAGGUGGGAGGCUUUGAAACCAGGACGCCAGUUUUGGCGGAGCCAUCCUUGGGAUACCACCCUUGUAGUACUGGGACUCUAACCAUAGGCCAUGAAUCUGGUCUUGGGACACUGUCAGGUGGGCAGUUUGACUGGGGCGGUCGCCUCCCAAAAGGUAACGGAGGCGCUCAAAGGUUCUCUCAGUACGGUCGGAAAUCGUACGUAGAGUGUAAAGGCAAAAGAGAGCUUGAUUGCAAGACAUACAGGUCGAGCAAGGAUGAAAAUCGGACUUAGUGAUCCGGUGGUUCUGCGUGGAAGGGCCAUCGCUCAACGGAUAAAAGCUACCCUGGGGAUAACAGGCUUAUCUCCCCCAAGAGUCCACAUCGACGGGGAGGUUUGGCACCUCGAUGUCGGCUCAUCACAUCCUGGGGCUGUAGUAGGUCCCAAGGGUUGGGCUGUUCGCCCAUUAAAGUGGUACGCGAGCUGGGUUCAGAACGUCGUG
This 2248-nucleotide ribosomal RNA is filed under the name Escherichia coli. RNAcentral describes it as "partial 23S ribosomal RNA". It matches the Rfam family "Bacterial large subunit ribosomal RNA", at positions 354 to 2623 of the family's 2925-position model. Lineage: Bacteria; Pseudomonadati; Pseudomonadota; Gammaproteobacteria; Enterobacterales; Enterobacteriaceae. The record is from RNAcentral.